GCCAUCGUGGUGUAGUGGUCAGCACGCUGGCCGCGAUGAUUAUUCCAGAGGUCCCUGGUUCGAGUCCCUGCGAAGGUG
Molecule: transfer RNA, 78 nt
Filed under: Stegodyphus mimosarum
Lineage: Eukaryota; Metazoa; Arthropoda; Arachnida; Araneae; Eresidae
Rfam family: tRNA
About the family: Transfer RNA (tRNA) molecules are approximately 80 nucleotides in length. Their secondary structure includes four short double-helical elements and three loops (D, anti-codon, and T loops).
Source: Rfam by way of RNAcentral